UACGGCGGACGGGUGAGUACACGUGGGCACCUGCCUAUAAGAACUGGGAUAACUUCGGGAAACCGGAAGCUAAUACCGGAUACGUUCUUUUCUCGCAUGAGAAGAAGAAUGGAAAGACGGUUUACGCUGUCACUUAUAGAUGGGCCCGCGGCGCAUUAGCUAGUUGGUGAGGUAAUGGCUCACCAAGGCGACGAUGCGUAGCCGAACCUGAGAGGGUGAUCGGCCACACUGGGACUGAGACACGGCCCAGACUCCUACGGGAGGCAGCAGUAGGGAAUCUUCCGCAAUGGACGAAAGUCUGACGGANCAACGCCGCGUGAACGAAGAAGGCCUUCGGGUCGUAAAGUUCUGUUGUUAGGGAAAAGACAAGUACCAGANGUAACUGCUGGUACCUUUGACGGUACCUAACCAGAAAGCCACGGCUAACUACGUGCCCAGCAGCCGCGGUAAUACGUAGGUGGCAAGCGUGNGA
This 472-nucleotide ribosomal RNA is filed under the name Peribacillus simplex. RNAcentral's name for it is "bacterial SSU rRNA". It matches the Rfam family "Bacterial small subunit ribosomal RNA", at positions 94 to 541 of the family's 1533-position model. Lineage: Bacteria; Bacillati; Bacillota; Bacilli; Caryophanales; Bacillaceae. The record is from RNAcentral.